Homo sapiens (human) is the source of this 895-nucleotide long non-coding RNA. The record is from Ensembl. NCBI's taxonomy places the organism in Eukaryota, Metazoa, Chordata, Mammalia, Primates, Hominidae.
GUGGGUCAAAUGGACCACGACUCCACUGAGCGUUUGGAUUACACUCAGAAUGCUGAGGGAAAAACGUUCAGAAUCUCACCCUUCAGGGAAAAGCGAUGGGACUCCGCGGUGCUCCUUGCCUACGAUUCCCGCACUGCCCAUGGGGAACGAAUCCUAUAUCGCUGAGCGCUUGGUAGGGAAUGUGGACUGUGACCCUGAGAGUCGUCCUUCCCUCUGCCUGAGUCCUUGAGCGAAAAUAUUGAAUAGACAGCAAUUCCUGAAGUCUAAACGCCUCCCAGGACUACGGAGGAUUAUUGGAAAGAGAACAAGCGAGGAGAUACAAUCUUCAAGGACUAAAUGGGGAAUGACUUUUUAGGGGUCAGUAGAUGAUUGAUGAUUGAUUACUAUAAACUGAUAAUAUGAGGCCAAAACUAAAAGUUGGAAGAGUGAGCAAGUACAAUGGUUUGGGAGAGGCAAUGAAGAACAAAGAAGGUGCCAGCCCCUACUCCAGACGCUGUGGUACCACUGGUUUGGCAGGAAAAACAAUCAUCAUUUGAGAGGGCCAGUGGGGAAGCCCUGUCCUCAUGGAAAAGCUAUCUUCUUUCGUUUACACUUUUCAUGGUAUUAUGUCUACUGAAGAGGUAAAAACACCAAAUUUCAGAGAAGCUCUUAAAUUGCCCAAUACUUCAAAGCAAGUAUAACUGGUGAAGCGCUUGGCAUUGAUGUCAGACACCCAAUGCCUAUGAUUUAUUUAAUGCAGUAGCAUUAAGGAGGAUCCUAUACGUGAAGGAACAUAUUUUAUUUUCUUCCUUUAUAUUUUUUGGUUAAAAUAUCGUCAUUAUAGUUAGCAAUUUGGAAUCUGGCUUACAUUGGUUGAUACAAAUAAAUAAUAGAAUAAAGCAAAAUCAGAAAAAAA